Molecule: ribosomal RNA, 122 nt
Filed under: Chloroflexota bacterium
Lineage: Bacteria; Bacillati; Chloroflexota
Description: partial 16S ribosomal RNA
Rfam family: Bacterial small subunit ribosomal RNA
Source: RNAcentral
UGUUUGGAGAGUUUGAUCCUGGCUCAGGACAAACGCUGGCGGCGUGCUUAAUACAUGCAAGUCGAACGGUCUCACUUCGGUGAGAUAGUGGCGGACGGGUGAGUAACACGUAGGUAACCUGC